Molecule: ribosomal RNA, 494 nt
Filed under: uncultured bacterium
Lineage: Bacteria
Description: partial 16S ribosomal RNA
Rfam family: Bacterial small subunit ribosomal RNA
Source: RNAcentral
GACGAACGCUGGCGGCGUGCUUAACACAUGCAAGUCGAACGGUGAAGCGCCUUCCUUUUUGGUGGGUGUGGAUGAGUGGCGAACGGGUGAGUAACACGUGAGUAACCUGCCCCCUUCUUCUGGAUAACCGCAUGAAAGUGUGGCUAAUACGGGAUAUUCUGGGUCUGUCGCAUGAUGGGUCUGGGAAAGAUAUUGUUUCGGUGGGGGAUGGGCUCGCGGCCUAUCAGCUUGUUGGUGGGGUGAUGGCCUACCAAGGCGGUGACGGGUAGCCGGCCUGAGAGGGUGGACGGUCACACUGGGACUGAGACACGGCCUAGACUCCUACGGGAGGCAGCAGUGGGGAAUAUUGCACAAUGGGCGCAAGCCUGAUGCAGCGACGCCGCGUGAGGGAUGGAGGCCUUCGGGUUGUGAACCUCUUUCGCCAGUGAAGCAGGCCUGCCUCGUUUGUGGGUGGGUUGACGGUAGCUGGAUAAGAAGCGCCGGCUAACUACGUG